This 216-nucleotide ribosomal RNA is filed under the name Glomeromycotina sp. Its description in RNAcentral is "partial small subunit ribosomal RNA". The stretch from base 40 to 216 matches the Rfam family "Eukaryotic small subunit ribosomal RNA", at positions 686 to 864 of the family's 1831-position model. Lineage: Eukaryota; Fungi; Glomeromycota. The record is from RNAcentral.
GGGUCAGUAGGUUGGUCGUGCCACCGGUACGUACUGGUCUCACUGAUUCCUCCUUCCUGAAGAACCGUAAUGCCAUUAAUUUGGUGUUGCGGGGAAACAGGACUGUUACUUUGAAAAACUUAGAGUGUUUAAAGCAAGCUAACGCUUGAAUACAUUAGCAUGGAAUAAUGAAAUAGGACGAUCGAUCCUAUUUUGUUGGUUUCUAGGAUUGACUUA